UACGUAGGGUCCGAGCGUUAAUCGGAAUUAUUGGGCGUAAAGCGUGCGCAGGCGGUUUUGUAAGCCAGAUGUGAAAGCCCCGGGCUCAACCUGGGAACUGCAUUUGGGACUGCAAGGCUGGAGUACGGCAGAGGGAGGUGGAAUUCCACGUGUAGCAGUGAAAUGCGUAGAGAUGUGGAGGAACACCGAUGGCGAAGGCAGCCUCCUGGGCCAGCACUGACGCUCAUGCACGAAAGCGUGGGGAGCAAACAGG
RNAcentral lists this ribosomal RNA (253 nucleotides) under uncultured bacterium. RNAcentral describes it as "partial 16S ribosomal RNA". It matches the Rfam family "Bacterial small subunit ribosomal RNA", at positions 524 to 776 of the family's 1533-position model. The record is from RNAcentral.